This is a non-coding RNA of Mycena leptocephala, 94 nucleotides long. NCBI's taxonomy places the organism in Eukaryota, Fungi, Basidiomycota, Agaricomycetes, Agaricales, Mycenaceae. The record is from the annotation of a GenBank genome assembly.
GGCCCAAUGGCCAACGAUGGCGCCCGCACCUCAUAGGAUUGGGUGGAGAUAGUGAUGCAAGCGGGAGAUCCCGGUUCGAUUCCGGGUUGGGUCA